RNAcentral lists this ribosomal RNA (525 nucleotides) under uncultured bacterium. RNAcentral describes it as "bacterial SSU rRNA". It matches the Rfam family "Bacterial small subunit ribosomal RNA", at positions 19 to 518 of the family's 1533-position model. The record is from RNAcentral.
AUGGCUCAGGACGAACGCUGGCGGCGUGCCUAAUACAUGCAAGUCGAACGGUCUUUCUAUGGAAGCUUGCUUCCACUGAGAAGAUAGUGGCGAACGGGUGAGUAACACGUGGGUAACCUGCCCAUAAGAGGGGGAUAACAUCCGGAAACGGGUGCUAAUACCGCAUAGUUUCUUGAUCGCAUGAUCGGGAAGGAAAGACGGCCUUUGUGCUGUCGCUUAUGGAUGGACCCGCGGCGUAUUAGUUAGUUGGUGAGGUAACGGCUCACCAAGACGAUGAUACGUAGCCGACCUGAGAGGGUGAUCGGCCACAUUGGGACUGAGACACGGCCCAAACUCCUACGGGAGGCAGCAGUAGGGAAUCUUCCGCAAUGGACGAAAGUCUGACGGAGCAACGCCGCGUGAGUGAAGAAAAGGUUUUCGGAUCGUAAAACUCUGUUGUCAGAGAAGAACAAGUUGGAGAGUAACUGCUCCAGCCUUGACGGUAUCUGACCAGAAAGCCACGGCUAACUACGUGCCAGCCGCCGC